Molecule: ribosomal RNA, 109 nt
Filed under: Caerostris extrusa
Lineage: Eukaryota; Metazoa; Arthropoda; Arachnida; Araneae; Araneidae
Source: RNAcentral
ACGGCCAUACCAUGCUGAAUAUACCGGUUCUCGUUAGAUCACAGAAGUCUCAAGCAUCAAUGGGCGCGGUCAGUACUUGGGUGCGUGACCACCUGGGAACACCGAGUGC